Molecule: non-coding RNA, 390 nt
Organism: Zonotrichia albicollis (white-throated sparrow)
Lineage: Eukaryota; Metazoa; Chordata; Aves; Passeriformes; Passerellidae
Source: RefSeq, a predicted model, not a curated record
UACAGGAGCACCCCAGGCACUAUGAGGAACCCAUGAAUUUCACCAUUUACUCCACGGUCCAGUUCGACCACAGGCCUUCAUCCAUCAAGAGGAAGAGGCUGGACCGAUCUUUGGUCUCCACCGCCUACCUGGAGGAUAAUGGGGGUUACAGGCGCUUGGGGUUCCCAAAUCCCGCCGGCCACCAGCGCCCCUGAAACCCCGGAAUUCCCAUCCCGGUGGAAUUCUCCUCCUGGAAACUCCAACGGCCACCGGGAUCCAUGGAAUGGAAAUAUUGAGAAUUAUCCAGAAAUUUGGGGUUUUCUCCCCAAGAUUCAACCCCCGGCUGCGCCUCGGAGCGAAGAUUUGGGGAUGGAAAAGUCCGGAAGAGAUGGAUUUGGGAUUGGGCAGGCG